Molecule: long non-coding RNA, 1674 nt
Organism: Naja naja (Indian cobra)
Lineage: Eukaryota; Metazoa; Chordata; Lepidosauria; Squamata; Elapidae
Source: Ensembl
UGAAGAAAAUCUGAAGUGCAAGAUUACUGACUGACAUGGCACUGGGGUAAUAAUAUCACUGGCUGAAAUAUUUAGAAGAAAAAAUUAACAGCCCAAUUUCUUCCCCACUUUAAAAAAUAGGAAUUCCCUAUGCAAAUUCAUAAAACAGUCGAACUGCUCAAAUAUAACACUUUAUGAUAGCAUUAUAUGAAUGAGCCCUGUGUCCAUGCUGAAUCUCUAUUUGCUUGGAAGGAGACUGGAAGUUUGCACUACUAUAUUUAACACUUUCCAAUUACUAUUUCUGAAACAAGUCAAUUGUUGUCAUUAUAUUGUUCUUAAAAUAAUCCACGAUAUGGAUUAACUGCAUGGAAGUGAAAGUGAAAGCAACCUUGUGUAAAUUGCUUGCUCACGCUCCCAUGAAGCAAAGACUAGUAACACUAAGAUGUAAGUUAAUGUUAUGAUUAAGACACUCUAAUGAUAAAACUGGCCCAUUAUGUUUAAUUUGCUGAACAAAUUCAGUUUGAAUUAAUGGAUAAAGAGAGCCUUUCUAUUUUUACUCCGUCUGGCCACCGCAUGGAUUUCUCUUCUACAGCCUGUCAUAAAAAUGCAACAAAAAGGCUAUGCUACCGUAUCUUUAUUAUAAUGUUAUUUUUGUUCAAAUAAUGUCAAAGCUUAUGCAAUUAAAAAGGCUAUCCUGCCAAAACAUGCUUCAGGCAAGCCAAACAGGAAAUGUCAGGUCGUGUGAACAAGUCUUGAUGUUCCCGGUGCAAGCAGCAGUCUUGCAGAACAUCUCAAAACAAUGGUUCAUUUACGAUCAUCGUGGUCGUUUCUAAAGAAGAAAUUUCGCCCCCUUUUCUGAAAGUCAGACUGGAAUGAAAGCCGCAUCGAACGAGAAGCGGGAUUGUGGAGGGGGAACAGAAACAAAAAGGAGCCCAAACAGAAACUUUGGCCUUUUUGUUAUUUCUCCCAAUGGGUUUCCUCCAUAGGAGCCAACUCCGAUCUGUCUCCUCCGCUCUACCGCGGGGGCAUUUCGCGGGUUCGGGGCGAUUCUAUUUCAUGGCCCAGAAGCACGUUAGGAAGGCUAAACCCGAGACACGAAGCGGAUGUGGAGAGGCAGGCCGGGGGCCAAGCCGGCCUAGGUCCGCCGGGGGCAGGGGGGGGGUUGCCAUGCCUGUAAGCCUCCGGCCGAGGGGACCCGGGUUGUUGUGGCCGCCUGCGGAAUGCCCGGGCGCCUUUCAGCGGGGCGGUUGGGGCGGCCGACUGCGAGCUGCUUCCUGCCCAGCGCGAGCCUCCCACCUGAUCCGACAUGUCUCCCUCGCAGACGCAGCCGGCCCCUCCGCCACCCCCGGAGAAGCGCCUCGCCGAUCUCGCUCUCGGCGUCGCCAACACGGAGAGCACAACACACAGGCCGGGCGCGGGCAGGCGGGAUUUCCUCUGCGCCUGAGAUCACUUCCCGCUCUCCAGGCACAGCCCACCGAAGAAGCGCAGUGCAACUUUGCUCCGCCCCCGCCCAGGGACUCCGGGAACAGUUUUGCGCGAGUUCCAGAGCCGCUCGCAGCCCGGUCUUUGCAGCGUUCACGACAGUCGCAAUUUAGUUGCUCCGGCUUUGCGCACGGCCACCUAGGAGCAGUGGAGAGAACGGUAGCGGCUAUGCGGGCUUCGAUGAGGAACCAACUACCUACAUUUCAACCAUAA